Molecule: ribosomal RNA, 704 nt
Filed under: Triticum aestivum (bread wheat)
Lineage: Eukaryota; Viridiplantae; Streptophyta; Magnoliopsida; Poales; Poaceae
Description: partial small subunit ribosomal RNA
Source: RNAcentral
CGGAACGGCAGGGGUAGCUGCUCCCCUAUUCCGGUGGGGUACGGAGGAGCAAGGAGGGGGAGCGGGGGAGCUAGGGGAGAGGGUGCGGGUGAACGAGGGGAGAGGGAGACCGGAGGGGGAGGAGGUCUAGAGGAGGAGGGCUCGCACCAGCGGCGGCAAGGGGCGCGAGGUGGCGCCGGUAGUUGCGGGGGCGUAGGUAGACAGUUCAGGCGUUCGAGGCGAGCGGGAGAGGGGGUUGAGGCUGGUGCGCGCCACCGGCCCUCGCUGGCCUCGCGGGCGUGGCGGCAGAAGAAGGAGGAGACAGAGCGGCCUGAAGCAACUGAUGAGGCUGAGGCCGUCCGGAGGGGCUCGGGCGACGGGAGGUGCUGGCCGAGGAGCAACUACGUUGGUCUACCACCUAGGGACCUCGGUCUACGGUGACGGCUACCUACGACGAUGCACUUCUGGCGGCUACUGGUCCUCAUCAAUCCUCCAGGGUCCAUCCUCCGGAACGGAGAAGCUAGCACAACGAAAACACGAUCGGAAGAAUUCCGUAGGAACAAAUUGAAUACAGACAUGAAUCUAUAACAACGAAGGCGACUGAGAACACGAAAGCUCGAAGAUAUAAGCUCGGGAGCUCCGGGGACCGAACAUUAUAUUUCGCACAUAAUAAAAUUAAACGCAGAUCUCAACACAACACUAUAGAAGGUCACUCAGGGACUAGA